AGGAGCUUAGGUUAAUAUGAGACCAAGGGCCUUCAAAGCCCUCAGUGGGGGUGGAAGUCCUCUAGCCCCUG
RNAcentral lists this transfer RNA (71 nucleotides) under Johnius distinctus. RNAcentral's name for it is "tRNA-Trp". It matches the Rfam family "tRNA". From Rfam's summary of the family: Transfer RNA (tRNA) molecules are approximately 80 nucleotides in length. Their secondary structure includes four short double-helical elements and three loops (D, anti-codon, and T loops). The record is from RNAcentral. Lineage: Eukaryota; Metazoa; Chordata; Actinopteri; Sciaenidae.